Molecule: ribosomal RNA, 253 nt
Filed under: uncultured bacterium
Lineage: Bacteria
Description: partial 16S ribosomal RNA
Rfam family: Bacterial small subunit ribosomal RNA
Source: RNAcentral
UACGUAGGGGGCUAGCGUUGUCCGGAAUCAUUAGGCGUAAAGCGCGCGUAGGCGGUCCGGUAAGUCCGCUGUGAAAGUCGGGGGCUCAACCCUCGGAUGCCGGUGGAUACUGUCGGGCUUGAGUACGGAAGAGGCGAGUGGAAUUCCUGGUGUAGCGGUGAAAUGCGCAGAUAUCAGGAGGAACACCAAUUGCGAAGGCAGCUCGCUGGGACGUUACUGACGCUGAGACGCGAAAGCGUGGGGAGCAAACAGG